GUUCCAGGUGAGAGGUGAGUCGGGAAGAAGUAGUGAGGAGACGUCGCUGGAAGAGGCAGCGGAGGGGAAUAGAGAAAUACAAAGAAGAUUCUAGAAGUCACCACAGAAAUCAUCAAACUGCUGAAAGGAGACAUGAGCGGUGCUGGGAAGGACAUCAUGAUGGAGAAUCAGCCGCCCCUCACAUCACCGGAUGGAUCCAGUAAUGGGAACCCCCCAGAGAGAUGUCCCCG
Molecule: long non-coding RNA, 230 nt
Organism: Rana temporaria (common frog)
Lineage: Eukaryota; Metazoa; Chordata; Amphibia; Anura; Ranidae
Exons: 3
Source: RefSeq, a predicted model, not a curated record